This 76-nucleotide transfer RNA is filed under the name Bacillota bacterium. Its description in RNAcentral is "tRNA-Val". It matches the Rfam family "tRNA". Rfam says of the family: Transfer RNA (tRNA) molecules are approximately 80 nucleotides in length. The record is from RNAcentral. RNAcentral also lists the same sequence under 3 other names. Lineage: Bacteria; Bacillati; Bacillota.
GGGAGUUUAGCUCAGCUGGGAGAGCAUCUGCCUUACAAGCAGGAGGUCAUAGGUUCGAGCCCUAUAACUCCCACCA